ACGGGAGGCGCAGUAGGGAAUAUUGCACAAUGGGGGAAACCCUGAUGCAGCGACGCCGCGUGAGUGAUGAAGUAUUUCGGUACGUAAAGCUCUAUCAGCAGGAGAGAUAAUGACGGUACCUGACUAAGAAGCCCCGGCUAACUACGUGCCAGCAGCCGCGGUAAUACGUAGGGGGCAAGCGUUAUCCGGAUUUACUGGGUGUAAAGGGAGUGUAGGUGGCGUGGCAAGUCAGAUGCGAAAGCCCGCGGCUCAACCGCGGGACUGCAUUUGAAACUGUCAUGCUAGAGUGCAGGAGAGGAAAGUGGAAUUCCUAGUGUAGCGGUGAAAUGCGUAGAUAUUAGGAGGAACACCAGUGGCGAAGGCGGCUUUCUGGACUGUUACUGACACUGAGGCUCGAAAGCGUGGGGAGCAAACAGGAUUAGAUACCCUGGUA
RNAcentral lists this ribosomal RNA (433 nucleotides) under uncultured Lachnospiraceae bacterium. RNAcentral describes it as "partial 16S ribosomal RNA". It matches the Rfam family "Bacterial small subunit ribosomal RNA", at positions 341 to 792 of the family's 1533-position model. Lineage: Bacteria; Bacillati; Bacillota; Clostridia; Lachnospirales; Lachnospiraceae. The record is from RNAcentral.